AUCCAACCGACAAGUCUUAAAUAGGACGAAAUCCACGUCCUGGAU
Molecule: non-coding RNA, 45 nt
Organism: Schistosoma rodhaini
Lineage: Eukaryota; Metazoa; Platyhelminthes; Trematoda; Strigeidida; Schistosomatidae
Source: Rfam